CCUACGGGAGGCAGCAGUGGGGAAUAUUGCACAAUGGGCGAAACCCUGAUGCAGCGACGCCGCGUGAGUGAAGAAGUAUUUCGGUAUGUUAAGCUCUAUCAGUAGGGAAGUAGCAUGACGGUACCUGACUAAGAUGCCCCUGCUAUCUACGUGCCAGCAGCCGCGGUCAUUCGUAGGGGGCAAGCGUUAUCCGGAUUUACUGGGUGUAAAGGGAGCGUAGACGGUAUGGCAAGUCUGAAGUGAAAGCGCAAGGCUUAACCCUCGGACUGCUUUUGAAACUGUUAGACUAGAGUGCUGGAGAGGUAAGUGGAAUUCGUAGUGUAGCGGUGAAAUGCGUAGAUAUUAGGAAGAACACCAGUGGCGAAGGCGGCUUACUGGACAGUAACUGACGUUGAGGCUCGAAAGCGUGGGGAGCAAACAGGAUUAGAUACCCCAGUAGUC
This 441-nucleotide ribosomal RNA is filed under the name uncultured bacterium. RNAcentral describes it as "partial 16S ribosomal RNA". It matches the Rfam family "Bacterial small subunit ribosomal RNA", at positions 338 to 795 of the family's 1533-position model. The record is from RNAcentral.